RNAcentral lists this ribosomal RNA (513 nucleotides) under uncultured bacterium. RNAcentral's name for it is "partial 16S ribosomal RNA". It matches the Rfam family "Bacterial small subunit ribosomal RNA", at positions 28 to 523 of the family's 1533-position model. The record is from RNAcentral.
GACGAACGCUGGCGGCAUGCCUAAUACAUGCAAGUCGAGCGAACAGAUGAAGUGCUUGCACUUCUGACGUUAGCGGCGAACGGGUGAGUAACACGUAAGGAAUCUACCUAUAAGCGGGGGAUAACAUUCGGAAACGGGUGCUAAUACCGCAUAAUAUCUUCUUCCGCAUGGAAGAAGAUUGAAAGACGGCUCUGCUGUCACUUAUAGAUGACCUUGCGGUGCAUUAGUUAGUUGGUGGGGUAACGACCUACCAAGACGAUGAUGCAUAGCCGACCUGCGAGGGUGAUCGGCCACAUUGGGACUGAGACACGGCCCAAACUCCUACGGGAGUCAGCAGUAGGGAAUCUUCCGCAAUGGGCGAAAGCCUGACGGAGCAAUGCCGCGUGAGUGAAGAAGGCCUUCGGGUCGUAAAACUCUGUUAUAAGAGAAGAACAAAUUGUAGAGUAACUGCUACAGUCUUGACGGUAUCUUAUCAGAAAGCCACGGCUGACUACGUGCCAGCCGCCGCCGUAA